Molecule: long non-coding RNA, 367 nt
Organism: Ceratitis capitata (Mediterranean fruit fly)
Lineage: Eukaryota; Metazoa; Arthropoda; Insecta; Diptera; Tephritidae
Exons: 2
Source: RefSeq, a predicted model, not a curated record
AACGAAUUUCAAUUUUCAAUGUAAAUAUAUUAGCUGAAACUCAUAUGCAUAUUCAGUUUAUGAAAAAACUUCGGAGGCCUAGAAAGUAAACUUUCCAAACAAAAAUAAAUUUCAAUAAUAAAAAUGUUCACCUUUCGCGCUUUGUUGAUCAAGUCAAUAAUCGUUGCUAUGGUUGUGUUGGAAUUAGCAGCGGCUGAGUCGAGUGUCGUCACACUCUUCAAGAAAUCUUUUCGUGAAGAUUGCCUAGCUGAUGGUUGCGGUUGCGGAAAGUAAUUCUUUGAAAUCUUGUUUAAAAAUAUUCAAGCGGCUGUGAUUUUAGUAUUGUUAAUACAUAAGUUAAAUAAACUAUUUAUUCAUAUUUCAAAAA